Molecule: ribosomal RNA, 423 nt
Filed under: uncultured bacterium
Lineage: Bacteria
Description: bacterial SSU rRNA
Rfam family: Bacterial small subunit ribosomal RNA
Source: RNAcentral
UAAGGAAUAUUGGUCAAUGGACGAAAGUCUGAACCAGCCAUGCCGCGUGAAGGAUGAAGGUCCUCUGGAUUGUAAACUUCUUUUAUAUGGGACGAAAAAAGGGAAUUCUUUCUCACUUGACGGUACCAUAGGAAUAAGCACCGGCUAACUCCGUGCCAGCAGCCGCGGUAAUACGGAGGGUGCAAGCGUUAUCCGGAUUCACUGGGUUUAAAGGGAGCGUAGGUGGGUCUGUAAGUCAGUGGUGAAAUCUCCGGGCUUAACCCGGAAACUGCCAUUGAUACUAUAGGUCUUGAAUCUUCUGGAGGUCAGCGGAAUAUGUCAUGUAGCGGUGAAAUGCUUAGAUAUGACAUAGAACACCAAUUGCGAAGGCAGCUGACUACAGGGGCAUUGACACUGAGGCUCGAAAGCGUGGGGAUCAAACAG